RNAcentral lists this unclassified non-coding RNA (378 nucleotides) under uncultured delta proteobacterium. RNAcentral's name for it is "contains 16S-23S intergenic spacer region". The record is from RNAcentral. Lineage: Bacteria; Deltaproteobacteria.
UCUGGCUUAUAGCCCAGCGGUCUCACUAGAGUACCCAACUGAAUGAUGGCAACUAGUGACGAGGGUUGCGCUCGUUGCGGGACUUAACCCAACAUCUCACAACACGAGCUGACGACAGCCAUGCAGCACCUGUCACCGCGUCCCCGAAGGGAACCCCGACUUUCAUCGGGUAGCGCGGGAUGUCAAGCCUAGGUAAGGUUCUUCGCGUAGCAUCGAAUUAAACCACAUGCUCCACCGCUUGUGCGGGCCCCCGUCAAUUCCUUUGAGUUUUAAUCUUGCGACCGUACUUCCCAGGCGGAGUACUUAAUGCGUUGGCUUCGUCACCGAGACAAUUAGGUAUCCCGACAACUAGUACUCAUAGUUUAGGGCGUGGACUAC